Molecule: ribosomal RNA, 229 nt
Filed under: uncultured bacterium
Lineage: Bacteria
Description: partial 16S ribosomal RNA
Rfam family: Bacterial small subunit ribosomal RNA
Source: RNAcentral
UACGAAGGGGGCUAGCGUUGCUCGGAAUCACUGGGCGUAAAGGGCGCGUAGGCGGCGCGGGAAGUCAUCGGUGAAAGCUCAGGCUCAACUCUGAGUCGGCCGGUGAUACUCUCGUGCUUGAGCACUGUAGAGGCAGGCGGGAAUUCCGGGUGUAGCGGUGGAAUGCGUAGAGAUCCGGAAGAACACCGGUGGCGAAGGCGGGCCUGACUGGGCAGUGCUGGACACUGAG